Molecule: long non-coding RNA, 310 nt
Organism: Octopus sinensis (East Asian common octopus)
Lineage: Eukaryota; Metazoa; Mollusca; Cephalopoda; Octopoda; Octopodidae
Exons: 2
Source: RefSeq, a predicted model, not a curated record
UCGGCAAGAACCAAUGAAGGAGUAAAACUAUGAGAGUGUGGAGAUAUUCCUGAACAACUUGUACCAUUCCUUCCCUCCAAUUUAAGCACCCAAGAAAGCCAAGGGUGGUGUUGUUGCAUUUUGCUUUUACAUGAAUCUUCUUUAUUAUGAACUAUCAAAGUUUAAAACCAUUUUAUGAACAUAAUCGUUAGACAAAACAAAAUUUUAAACUCUUUCGUAGAUUUUCAAUAUGUUGCCUUAAAGCCAGUUAUUUCUUUCACUGUUAACAUUCAACUAACACAAACUAGACAAUUGUUACACGAAAAAUAAA